AAACAAGAUGAACAUUUUUUUAUCAUUUGUACUCGACAGUUGACUUAUAUUAUUUAUUUUAUUCAUGUAAAAGUAGAAAACAUGAAAACCUAAAAAUAAUAUUUAAAAAUAUAAUGUGAAAAAAUUGAAAAUGCUCAGAAUCCUGAUCUUACAGGUAUUGUACUUGUUCAACUAAUUUUGCAAGCUAUAUCAAUGUUAGAAAACAUAAGAGCUAAAGUCAAUGGGAUUGUUUCUGAUAGAGCAGUGAAAGGUGCGCGAAGUGUGUUCGAGAUUUCUUCCAUACCUCCGCUGCUGUCGUGAACACCAGUCGUAUGAGACCGGCGUGCCACUCAACACCAGGAAAACGAGACUUCAUAUUAUAACCAGUAGCCCUACUUAGGUAUGGGCAAUGGGUGGGGGUGAUUUGCAUAAGGAUCGCAUCGAUUGGCAGUGAACCGUUGUGGCACAGUGAAGUUGGGAGUAGUUUUGUACUGUAUUAUAAAAUUAUCCGUACGAGUACGUACACAUACGGUGCACGUCAAAACCAUUAACCCGCUGCCAUUGUAACUGCCAGUUUUCACAUAACUACCGGUCCUUCGUUUCGGCACGUGUGUUUCGUGUACAGCGCCUGAGUACGUGUCAAACAGUUGCCGAAGUGGAAAUCUUCCUGACAAUUCGUUUAAUUCAAAUGGAAACUACCGAAGCUAAGACAAACGAAGAAUUGGAAAUAACCGAAAUUGAGAAAAACGAACAAUUGGAAACUACCGAAGCAAAGAUAAACGAAGAAUUAAAGAUCACACCAGAACUACAUGAAACCAAAGAAGAAAAAAUUAAACCUAAUUCUCGGUUAAAGAAGCGCCGACCCAGAUUAAAAUUUAAACAGCCUUCACGCGCGAGACGUCGUGAAAUUAGAGCUGCGGCUAGAGCUGAGGCUGCGGCCAUGGCUAUAGCUGACUCUUCUCUAAAUACCGAACGAAAAUCCAGUAAGCAGCUCGAGUGCGCUGACGAGGACAAUGUCUCCACGUCGAGACAAAAAAUACAGGAACCGUCUCCUGAAUGUUCAAACAAUAUAUGAUAAGUAUGAUAAUAUAAUAUAUAUUUGUUAAUAAUAAAAUCAAUGUGAUGCCAUCAA
Aphis gossypii (cotton aphid) is the source of this 1111-nucleotide RNA transcript. RefSeq lists it as uncharacterized. NCBI's taxonomy places the organism in Eukaryota, Metazoa, Arthropoda, Insecta, Hemiptera, Aphididae. The record is from RefSeq and is a predicted model, not a curated record. The transcript is spliced from 5 exons.